This 489-nucleotide ribosomal RNA is filed under the name uncultured bacterium. RNAcentral's name for it is "bacterial SSU rRNA". It matches the Rfam family "Bacterial small subunit ribosomal RNA", at positions 40 to 518 of the family's 1533-position model. The record is from RNAcentral.
CGGCAGGCCUAACACAUAGCAAGUCGAACGGUAACAGGAAGAAGCUUGCUCUUGCUGACGAGUGGCGGACGGGUGAGUAAUGUCUGGGAAACUGCCUGAUGGAGGGGGAUAACUACUGGAAACGGUAGCUAAUACCGCAUAACGUCGCAAGACCAAAGAGGGGGACCUUCGGGCCUCUUGCCAUCGGAUGUGCCCAGAUGGGAUUAGCUUGUUGGUGGGGUAACGGCUCACCAAGGCGACGAUCCCUAGCUGGUCUGAGAGGAUGACCAGCCACACUGGAACUGAGACACGGUCCAGACUCCUACGGGAGGCAGCAGUGGGGAAUAUUGCACAAUGGGCGCAAGCCUGAUGCAGCCAUGCCGCGUGUAAUGAAGAAGGCCUUCGGGUUGUAAAGUACUUUCAGCGGGGAGGAAGGGAGUAAAGUUAAUACCUUUGCUCAUUGACGUUACCCGCAGAAGAAGCACCGGCUAACUCCGUGCCAGCAGCAGC